RNAcentral lists this long non-coding RNA (953 nucleotides) under Nicotiana benthamiana. RNAcentral's name for it is "long non-coding RNA (NBEN_LNC040101)". Lineage: Eukaryota; Viridiplantae; Streptophyta; Magnoliopsida; Solanales; Solanaceae. The record is from RNAcentral.
CUAGGGUUCUCUCUGUUGUUUGAAGGCCGGUCUUCUCCGGUCGCGAAGAAGGAGGGUAACUCUGUCCUUAUCUUGAGUAUUCUAUGUUUUGUGUAUGAUUAUCUGACUCCGUAUGUGAGUAUUUGAUUUUAUGUGUGAAUAUCUGGUUUGGCUGUACUCUGUUUGUUGAAAUUUUUUUAAGCCGGUUCAUUGAUUAUGGCUUCUAAUACAAAUACUGGUACCUCCUCCUCUGUAGACUCUUCUAGCCCCCUUUUUGUAUAUUCCUCUGAUGUCCAUGGGGUCUCUCUUAUUUGGCUGUACUCUGUUUGUUAAAAAAUUUUAAGCCGGUUCAUUGAUUAUGGCUUCUAAUACAAAUACUGGUACAUCCUCCUCUGUAGACUCUUCUAGCCCCCUUUUUGUAUAUUCCUCUGAUGUCCCUGGGGUCUCUCUUGUUCCCACUCCCUUCUCGGGUAGUGGUUAUGGGGGCUGGAGAUGUAAAAUAAUUGUUGCUUUAUCAGCCAAAAACAAAAUUGGUUUUGUUGAUGGCACAUGUUCCCGACCUACCAUUAAUGUGGCUCAACAAAGGUUGUGGGAUAGGUGCAACAACAUGGUGAUUUCUUGGUUCACUGCUUCCCUCUUCUGUGUAUUGUGACAGCCAGGCAGCCAUUCACAUUGCCACGAAUCAUAUUUUUCAUGAACAGACUAAACACAUUGAAGUGGAUUGUCAUUUUGUGCGCGAUCUGCUCCAGAGUGGCCUUAUUCAACUGUUCCAUGUCCCUACCACUCGCCAGCUCGCUGACCUUCUGACCAAGCCUUUGCCCGGCACCAUACUUCAUCCAUUGUUGCUCAAGUUGCAGGUGGUGUCUCCCUUCAACUUGAGGGGGGGUGUUGAGAUAAGAGAAAACACAUGAUAGAGCCUUGUAUAGCCUUGUACAUUUUGUGUAUACUCAUUGUAUAUUUUCGGUAUAUCCAUG